RNAcentral lists this ribosomal RNA (276 nucleotides) under uncultured bacterium. RNAcentral's name for it is "partial 16S ribosomal RNA". It matches the Rfam family "Bacterial small subunit ribosomal RNA", at positions 520 to 793 of the family's 1533-position model. The record is from RNAcentral.
UAAGUACGGGAGGGUGCGAGCGUUAAUCGGAAUUACUGGGCGUAAAGCGCAUGCAGGCGGCCUGUUAAGUCAGAUGUGAAAGCCCGGGGCUUAACCUCGGAAUUGCAUUUGAAACUGGCAGGCUAGAGUCUUGUAGAGGGGGGUAGGAAUUUCAGGUGUAGCGGUGAAAUGCGUGGAGAUCUGAAGGAAUACCAGUGGCGAAGGCGGCCCCCUGGACAAAGACUGACGCUCAGAUGCGAAAGCGUGGGGAGCAAACAGGAUUAGAUACCCUGGUAG